AUGCAAAAACACGGGUGUCAUUUCGUUUUCAAACAGACGAUUCCAACUCUGGUGCCCAGGGCCCGGCUGGGGCCCAACGGGACGGCAGGAGGAAAGAGGGAGGCCCACGCUUCUCCUCCCAAGUGGCUGGUGUCCACCGGGCUCCCUCUCAGCCUCACACUCUGCGUCCCUCUGGGUGUCCUCGUGCAGGCCCGUGGCUUCCAACACCUCCUGGACACAAACCAUGCCUCUUCUCCACCCCUGAGCCCCAAACCCAUUCCUUCUCUGAUCUCUUCCUCUAGACUUUCCUUCAUGUCCCCACCCAGCUCCCCAAAAAUGCCAGGUUCGCUCCCAAAUCACAGAAUGUGCACAUACAGUUCCCUCUGCCUGGAACACAAGCCUCCCAGAUACCCAUCGCACUCGUUCCUUCACCUUUUUAAGUCUAGACUCAAAUAUCACAGGAGGUCAUUCCUGGUCACCCUUAGAACCAAAGUUCCAGCCCCACUGGCAGCCCUCCCUGCCCCCUCCCUGCCCCCUCCCUGCUCAAGUUCUCCGCAGCACUUACACAGCUGUACACUCCAUAACUUACUGUUUAUAUAUUGUCUUCUCCCGCUGUUAGAAUUUUGGCUUCACCUGUGAUGGUGAAGAGGAAGCGGGCCUGCCCCACCAAGAGCUCCUGAGCAUUUGCCCCUGCACCCAGAGCAAUAAAGAUGUUAAUCGUCAAAAAAAAAAUUUUUUUUUUUUGGCCUCAUGAGGGUAAAGCUUUGGAGUUUUUUCCCGUUCUGCAUCUUUGGUACCAGGAACUGGACUCAGCACACAGGAGGCUCCCUAUAAAUGUGAUUGAAUAUGAGGAAGCAGAAGUGCAGAGAGCUCAUCAGUCUCACCCCAGUCCAGCAUGAUCAUGUGAAAUGAUGUUUGUGAGCGUUCUCUAAACUAUAGGUAGUGAUAAUUGUCAUUUCCCCCCGACUCCUAAGAAUUAGGAUCCCAGGGGCGCCUAGGGGGCUCAGUCAGUCAGCAUCUGACUUGAUUUCAGCUCAUGUCAUGAUAUCAGGGUUGUGAGACUGACCCCCGACUGGAGCUCUGGGUGUGGAGCCUGCUAAAGAUUCUUCCUCCCUCUCCCUCUGCCCCUCCCACACCCCACACCCCACACCUGUGUGAGCACACAUGCUCUGCCUCUUUCUAAAAAAAAAAAAAGAAAGAAAGAAUUGACACCCCAGGGGGCAGGAACUAGAGUGACGACCUUCGAGAUCAGCUAGUCUAUCUCAUUAUGUUACAGGUGAAGACAAGAGGUACCUCUUGUACCUAUGCUUUGGAAAUCCAGGUCACUUCUAGGCUCAUGUUGGAUGGCUUUGGACAAAACAGUUUGGGCUAACCUCUCAGACUGUACCUCCCUGUGAGGAGCAAAGUCAGCAGGCCAUCCAUCCGUCUUUCAAUCCUUUCAUCCUUCCAUCCCUCUAUCCAUACAUACAUCCGUCCACCCAUCUUUGCAACCAUCACUCAUCCUUCCGUCCAUUUAUCCUUCCUCUGUCUAUCUAUACAUUCUUCCCUCCAUCCAUCCUUCCAACCAACCAUCACUCAUACUUCUCUCCAUUAGCCACCCAUCCUUUCAUUCUGUAUCCAUUUUUCCUUUAUUUUUUCCACCUGCCAGCUUGUCUAUCCUUCUCUGCAUCUGCUUCUCCUCUAUACUUUUAUUCAUCCAUUUCGGAAAUCAUUUAUCCAAAUCCAAUCUUUUACCCACUGUUCAUCCUUCCAUUCAUCCAUCACUUCAUACAG
This 1752-nucleotide long non-coding RNA is filed under the name Canis lupus familiaris (dog). RNAcentral describes it as "lncRNA (ENSCAFG00030000648.1)". The record is from RNAcentral. Lineage: Eukaryota; Metazoa; Chordata; Mammalia; Carnivora; Canidae.